This 403-nucleotide ribosomal RNA is filed under the name uncultured bacterium. Its description in RNAcentral is "bacterial SSU rRNA". It matches the Rfam family "Bacterial small subunit ribosomal RNA", at positions 355 to 774 of the family's 1533-position model. The record is from RNAcentral.
UAGGGAAUAUUGCAAAAUGGGCGAAAGCCCGAUGCAGCAACGCCGCGUGGGCGAUGAAGGCCUUCGGGUCGUAAAGCCCUUUUUGAGGGGAUGAGGAAGGACAGUACCCUCAGAAUAAGCCUCGGCUAACUACGUGCCAGCAGCCGCGGUAAAACGUAGGAGGCGAGCGUUAUCCGGAUUUACUGGGCGUAAAGCGCGUGCAGGCGGAUUGGAGAGUUGGAUGUGAAAGCUCCCGGCUUAACUGGGAGAGGUCGUUCAAUACUUCCAGUCUUGAGUGCAGUAGAGGGAAGUGGAAUUCCGGGUGUAGCGGUGAAAUGCGUAGAUAUCCGGAGGAACACCAGUGGCGAAAGCGGCUUCCUGGACUGUAACUGACGCUCAGACGCGAAAGCUAGGGUAGCAAACG